ACCCGGAACCCGACCCCCGCCCCCAGGCCAGUUCCGGUUCCGCCGCCCCGUAAUCCGCUCGAGCCGCGCCAAACACCAUGGUUUAUUGUAGGUGCAGGUGGAGUACGUGAUGGAGAAGCCCGGCCUCAGCGCCGACCAUCCCCUCCUCCCCGCAUGUAUCUUCGUUGCCAUCCGUUGCACAUGCCCACCAUGCCGGCGAAGCUUCCGCUCUACCUGCAUAAACAGAUUAACGCCUUAUUCCUGGAUUGGUUCUUGUGAUCACAAACCUGGAGACAUACAAGAUCGAUGAGAUGGAUUGCUGUUUCAUGAAGUUUACCAGGUUGGUGCUCAUGCCAUGGUGGUAUGCCAGCUGCUUGCAGCAUGCGUUAGCAAUCAACACCAGGACUCCAUAAAGACCCAAAGAGAGGCAGAGCAACAAUGAAGGUAUGUAUAUACCGAGCAUGUAGGGGCAGCCUGGAAGUUGCCGGCAUUCUUCAGGUUGCUCUUGAUGUCCACGUUGAGCAUAGGUAUCCUAAUAUGCUAUGCAUUUGAGUUCUAAUUACAAUCAUAAAUAGUUUGCUUUGCAGAACUAUCAAACUUCUUAAAUUAACAAGUUGACAACCUUUGAAUGUGUAGAACAGUAGUGAGGAGAUUGUUGUCGAGCUUACAAACCACUAUGCCCAGCAUGCACAUAUCUGAUUUCCUCUUCUAGACUGUCCAAACCACUAUGCCGAGCUUAGAAACCACUAUGCCUCCCAUGUAUAGCAUGUUGGCUUUUUUACAUCCAGAAAAAGACAGUCCAUACAACACCCAUGGUCAAUUAUUGUCAACGGAUGUUUGUUUUGUACACAACAUUUUCUAAAUUAAUGUCAAACUUCAACAGAUAUAUACUUCUAACAAAGUCAAACAUGCUACACGCAUAGCAUUUUCUUAGAUCGAUGGUAUAUAAGGUUUGAAUAAUAAUUGUGGGUUCUCACGUACAGACUUGAAUAAUAAUUGUGGGUUCUCACGUACUAUAUAUAAUGUAAGAGAAACUAUAUGGAUGAUAUAUCAUUAGAAAAAAUGAAAGAAUUAUGAUGGAUAUUAGUUUGCUCGAAAUGAUUACUCCACUACAAUGCUUCUCAUAGCUUUACAGUUCUGUGAUGCAAGCAUAUGUGUUCUGGAGCCUUUUUUGCCAGGGAACUCUGAAGCAUGUAGUUGAAGUAAAUAUUGUAUAGUCAGAGACAAUCUUUGCAUAUUCAGGAGCAGACUGCACCGCAAGCUGCUGGUGCAAAAACACAAUUGGCACCGUACAGCAGGCAAAGCUUCACUACAGAGUUCUGCAUAGGGAUAUGCGUUUUGCUGACCUUUUUUCAAUGAUGCAAAUAGAAUUUAAUACAUGUUCUCGUUGUGCCAACGAUUUAUGUGCUAUGCAUUGGUUUGUAAUUUUUUCUGCAUUUGGUAUGAAAUUCAUCACUCGCUUUUGAUUGCUUUUUUCCCAAUGAGAGGCCUUGCUAAUAGAUUGUCAUCUCUCAUUGUACUAUGAUUGUGAAAGAUGCAAUAUCUUUAGUCUUUACUGCAACGACAUCCUCCAACAAGGUGUAUCGAAUGCAUUCUAGGACCUCAGACACAAAGGUGGAUCCAUUAUUGUGAAGAUGAGCAAGUAGUUGAAUGUUUUGUAAAGAACAAAUUCCAGAACAGAAACAUGAUGAGAUGGUUCAAGCACGUCACAGCUCUAAUAAUCAUGGUACAACAGUAAUAUCUAAAUAUUUCACUUAUCUAAAAUGCUUGUCUUAUUUUACUUUUUAUUAGUCAAGCCCGAGUAA
This is a long non-coding RNA of Aegilops tauschii subsp. strangulata, 1784 nucleotides long. RefSeq lists it as uncharacterized. Lineage: Eukaryota; Viridiplantae; Streptophyta; Magnoliopsida; Poales; Poaceae. The record is from RefSeq and is a predicted model, not a curated record.